This is a long non-coding RNA of Cynara cardunculus var. scolymus (artichoke), 412 nucleotides long. RefSeq lists it as uncharacterized. The transcript has 4 exons. The record is from RefSeq and is a predicted model, not a curated record. Lineage: Eukaryota; Viridiplantae; Streptophyta; Magnoliopsida; Asterales; Asteraceae.
UAGGUUUAUUUGAUCCCAAUUGUAUCGUAUUCGUGUAAAGCGCCAAACCCUAAUUCCAGAUUCCGAUCAUGUCGUCCAAGCAAGGAGGAAAAGCAAAGCCAUUGAAGCAACCUAAGGCUGAGAAGAAAGAAUACGACGAGAUUGACAAGGCCAACAUUCAAAAGAAGAAGGACGAGGAAAAGGCACUGAAGGAGCUUAGAGCAAAAGCUCAAAAAGGAGCACUGGGCGGUACGGGUCUGAAGAAAAGUGGAAAGAAAUGAAGACCCACGAAACCGAAAUUGUUGCAUAAGAUAUGAUGUUGUGACUAGUGAACUGCUACUAGACCGUUUACUAUUUGUUGGUAUAUCAAAUCUUCAGUAAUAAUCAUGAUGCUGAUAUUGGUCUUGAAUCUUGAUGUUGUUUUGGCUGCACC